Molecule: transfer RNA, 72 nt
Filed under: Photobacterium phosphoreum
Lineage: Bacteria; Pseudomonadati; Pseudomonadota; Gammaproteobacteria; Vibrionales; Vibrionaceae
Description: tRNA-Leu
Source: RNAcentral
UGCUUCUUUAUUGGGAAGAUUAGCGGCCUGUUAAUCCGUAUGUCACUGGUUCAAGUCCAGUAGAGGGAGCCA